RNAcentral lists this transfer RNA (65 nucleotides) under Piophila casei. RNAcentral describes it as "tRNA-Cys". The record is from RNAcentral. Lineage: Eukaryota; Metazoa; Arthropoda; Insecta; Diptera; Piophilidae.
GGCUUUAUAGUCAAUAAUGAUAUUAGACUGCAAUUCUAAAGGAGUAAUUUUUUUUACUAAGGCUU